UGGCGGCGUGCCUAACACAUGCAAGUCGAGCGAUUCUCUUCGGAGAAGAGCGGCGGACGGGUGAGUAACGCGUGGGUAACCUGCCCUGUACACACGGAUAACAUACCGAAAGGUAUGCUAAUACGAGAUAAUAUGCUUUUAUCGCAUGGUAGAAGUAUCAAAGUUUUUGCGGUACAGGAUGGACCCGCGUCUGAUUAGCUAGUUGGUAAGGUAACGGCUUACCAAGGCGACGAUCAGUAGCCGACCUGAGAGGGUGAUCGGCCACAUUGGAACUGAGACACGGUCCAAACUCCUACGGGAGGCAGCAGUGGGGAAUAUUGCACAAUGGGCGAAAGCCUGAUGCAGCAACGCCGCGUGAGCGAUGAAGGCCUUCGGGUCGUAAAGCUCUGUCCUCAAGGAAGAUAAUGACGGUACUUGAGGAGGAAGCCCCGGCUAACUACGUGCCAGCAGCCGCGGUAAUAAUCACUA
This 468-nucleotide ribosomal RNA is filed under the name uncultured Peptostreptococcus sp. Its description in RNAcentral is "bacterial SSU rRNA". It matches the Rfam family "Bacterial small subunit ribosomal RNA", at positions 37 to 530 of the family's 1533-position model. Lineage: Bacteria; Bacillati; Bacillota; Clostridia; Peptostreptococcales; Peptostreptococcaceae. The record is from RNAcentral.